RNAcentral lists this unclassified non-coding RNA (333 nucleotides) under soil metagenome. Its description in RNAcentral is "partial contains 5.8S ribosomal RNA, internal transcribed spacer 2, and large subunit ribosomal RNA". The stretch from base 2 to 119 matches the Rfam family "5.8S ribosomal RNA", at positions 37 to 154 of the family's 154-position model. The record is from RNAcentral.
GUGAAGAACGUAGCGAAAUGCGAUAAGUAGUGUGAAUUGCAGAAUUCAGUGAAUCAUCGAAUCUUUGAACGCACAUUGCGCCCCUUGGUAUUCCAUGGGGCAUGCCUGUUCGAGCGUCAUUUGUACCUUCAAGCUUUGCUUGGUGUUGGGUGUUUGUCCAUUCUCUUGCAGAGGGACUCGCCUUAAAGUAAUUGGCAGCCAGUGUUUUGGUUUUGAAGCGCAGCACAAGUCGCGAUUCAACGCUAUACGCCAGCUUCCACAAGCCUUUUUCACUUUUGACCUCGGAUCAGGUAGGGAUACCCGCUGAACUUAAGCAUAUCAAUAAGCGGAGGA